RNAcentral lists this long non-coding RNA (337 nucleotides) under Panax ginseng (ginseng). Its description in RNAcentral is "long non-coding RNA (PGIN_LNC003432)". Lineage: Eukaryota; Viridiplantae; Streptophyta; Magnoliopsida; Apiales; Araliaceae. The record is from RNAcentral.
UCCAGAGAGAGAUGGAGGACCCACUUUCUAUCUCCAAACCCUAAACCCCCUUUCUCUCUCCUCUUCCUCUUCGCCUUCCGAUUGAGUCCUACGGAUCUAUACCAUAUGUACACAGUUUCAAUAAUCAAUGGAUAUGAGAAAACAUAUCUACUUUAUCUCUUUUGUGUCUCUGCAUGUGUUUGGGGAAUUAAUGAAUGAAAACUUGAGCUAUCUAUCUAUACCAUAUAUACACAGUUUCAAUGGAUAUAUUUUCUCAUAUCCCUUUCUCUCUCCUCUUCCGAUUGGGAAAAUUGAUCCAUAUAAACAAAUAAACUAGAGGUUUAAGGAGAGAAAAAAG